Molecule: ribosomal RNA, 332 nt
Filed under: uncultured bacterium
Lineage: Bacteria
Description: bacterial SSU rRNA
Rfam family: Bacterial small subunit ribosomal RNA
Source: RNAcentral
CACGUAGAUGGCUUUGUAAGUCGGAUGUGAAAUCCCCGGGCUCAACCUGGGAACUGCAUUCGAAACUGCAUUGCUCGAAUGUGGAAGAGGGAAGCGGAAUUCCAGGUGUAGCGGUGAAAUGCGUAGAUAUCUGGAGGAACAUCAGUGGCGAAGGCGGCUUCCUGGUCCAACAUUGACAUUCAGGUGCGAAAGCGUUGGGGAGCAAACAGGAUUAGAUACCCUGGUAGUCCACGCCAUAAACGAUGAGAACUAGAUGUCGGGAGGGUUAGCCUUCCGGUGUCGCAGCUAACGCGUUAAGUUCUCCGCCUGGGGAGUACGGCCGCAAGGUUGAA